AGUGAACGCUGGCGGUAGGCCUAACACAUGCAAGUCGAACGGCAGCACAGGAGAGCUUGCUCUCUGGGUGGCGAGUGGCGGACGGGUGAGGAAUACAUCGGAAUCUACCUUUUUCGUGGGGGAUAACGUAGGGAAACUUACGCUAAUACCGCAUACGACCUACGGGUGAAAGUGGGGACCGGCAAGGCCUCACGCGAUUAGAUGAGCCGAUGUCCGAUUAGCUAGUUGGCGGGGUAAUGGCCCACCAAGGCGACGAUCGGUAGCUGGUCUGAGAGGAUGAUCAACCACACUGGAACUAAGACACGGUCCAGACUCCUACGGGAGGCAGCAGUGGGGAAUAUUGGACAAUGGGCGCAAGCCUGAUCCAGCCAUACCGCGUGGGUGAAGAAGGCCUUCGGGUUGUAAAGCCCUUUUGUUGGGAAAAGAAAUCCUAUCGGUUAAUAACCGGUGGGGAUGACGGUACCCAAAGGAAUAAGCACCGGCUAACUUCGUGCCAGCAGCCGCGGUAAUACGAAGGGUGCAAGCGUUACUCGGAAUUACUGGGCGUAAAGCGUGCGUAGGUGGUGGUUUAAGUCUGCUGUGAAAGCCCUGGGCUCAACCUGGGAAUUGCAGUGGAUACUGGGUCACUAGAGUGUGGUAGAGGGAUGCGGAAUUUCUGGUGUAGCAGUGAAAUGCGUAGAGAUCAGAAGGAACAUCCGUGG
Molecule: ribosomal RNA, 701 nt
Filed under: uncultured bacterium
Lineage: Bacteria
Description: bacterial SSU rRNA
Rfam family: Bacterial small subunit ribosomal RNA
Source: RNAcentral